RNAcentral lists this unclassified non-coding RNA (253 nucleotides) under Hevea brasiliensis (rubber tree). Lineage: Eukaryota; Viridiplantae; Streptophyta; Magnoliopsida; Malpighiales; Euphorbiaceae. The record is from RNAcentral.
AAAAAAAAAACCCAACUUAUAUUUUGUUAAUGAUGUGAUCCAAAUUCUAUCAACCUUGCUUGUAGUUGCCAUUUGAUCUUUCUGGCCAAUCCUGUUCAUGGGAUUUCUUUCCCUCUAGAAAGUUUUUUCUAGAGCUUGCAUUAGCUUUCUGAGGGAAUCAUAGUACUCUUGUUGACAGUCCUUUUUUAUUUUUUAAUUUUCCUGUUCUGAUUAUAUGUAUGUGUGACCAGAAAGGUGCUGCACCUUAUUUUGG